RNAcentral lists this long non-coding RNA (623 nucleotides) under Chinchilla lanigera (long-tailed chinchilla). RNAcentral describes it as "lncRNA (ENSCLAG00000027989.1)". The record is from RNAcentral. Lineage: Eukaryota; Metazoa; Chordata; Mammalia; Rodentia; Chinchillidae.
CUAAAGGCAGGGCUACAACAAUGUGAAUGCAUCAGCUGACUCAGCCAUCAUGACCAUUUCCAGGAACAAAUCAGUCCUUCAGAUUAAACUGAAUUCAUGUGUAAAGGGCAAAGUGUUUUUCCAUUAUCCUUUUAAUUUUUAUCUUUAUAAAAUAUCAAUAUACUCUGAUGUUUUUCCAGACAGCGCAGAUGAGUAUGCAUUAGCUGGGAGGUAUGAUACGGAUGUAAGAGGCAGGAAGAGUGAACAAAAGCAGGAAGAGAGGACAACUGAGAAAAGGAACGUGGAAGGGCCCUUCUUGGCACUGAGCCCUCUUUCUCCUGGAUGCAUGCUUAGAUCAGCUGUUCUGCAGAGCUGGUGACAUGGAAUUUGAACUCCAGAGUUCUGCGGAGGGUGAGUCACCACUUCAUGCUCUUGGGACAGCUGAUGGCUUUGACAGCCCCCAGUGAUAAGGACAUGAGUGUGCAAAAGAAACUUUGUCCUGCCGCAAGCUGGAGCACAUCAAGGUUCUGCAGAGACACUGGACAACCAUGCUGUAAUCUCAAACCAACAACCAACAUCUGUGUGACCAAAGAUGUUUACUUUGUUCAAUUGCCUUCAUAUUAUUUUGUCACUGAAUUUGAUAC